RNAcentral lists this ribosomal RNA (1476 nucleotides) under Lactiplantibacillus plantarum. Its description in RNAcentral is "bacterial SSU rRNA". It matches the Rfam family "Bacterial small subunit ribosomal RNA". The record is from RNAcentral. Lineage: Bacteria; Bacillati; Bacillota; Bacilli; Lactobacillales; Lactobacillaceae.
GCUGGCGGCGUGCCUAAUACAUGCAAGUCGAACGAACUCUGGUAUUGAUUGGUGCUUGCAUCAUGAUUUACAUUUGAGUGAGUGGCGAACUGGUGAGUAACACGUGGGAAACCUGCCCAGAAGCGGGGGAUAACACCUGGAAACAGAUGCUAAUACCGCAUAACAACUUGGACCGCAUGGUCCGAGUUUGAAAGAUGGCUUCGGCUAUCACUUUUGGAUGGUCCCGCGGCGUAUUAGCUAGAUGGUGGGGUAACGGCUCACCAUGGCAAUGAUACGUAGCCGACCUGAGAGGGUAAUCGGCCACAUUGGGACUGAGACACGGCCCAAACUCCUACGGGAGGCAGCAGUAGGGAAUCUUCCACAAUGGACGAAAGUCUGAUGGAGCAACGCCGCGUGAGUGAAGAAGGGUUUCGGCUCGUAAAACUCUGUUGUUAAAGAAGAACAUAUCUGAGAGUAACUGUUCAGGUAUUGACGGUAUUUAACCAGAAAGCCACGGCUAACUACGUGCCAGCAGCCGCGGUAAUACGUAGGUGGCAAGCGUUGUCCGGAUUUAUUGGGCGUAAAGCGAGCGCAGGCGGUUUUUUAAGUCUGAUGUGAAAGCCUUCGGCUCAACCGAAGAAGUGCAUCGGAAACUGGGAAACUUGAGUGCAGAAGAGGACAGUGGAACUCCAUGUGUAGCGGUGAAAUGCGUAGAUAUAUGGAAGAACACCAGUGGCGAAGGCGGCUGUCUGGUCUGUAACUGACGCUGAGGCUCGAAAGUAUGGGUAGCAAACAGGAUUAGAUACCCUGGUAGUCCAUACCGUAAACGAUGAAUGCUAAGUGUUGGAGGGUUUCCGCCCUUCAGUGCUGCAGCUAACGCAUUAAGCAUUCCGCCUGGGGAGUACGGCCGCAAGGCUGAAACUCAAAGGAAUUGACGGGGGCCCGCACAAGCGGUGGAGCAUGUGGUUUAAUUCGAAGCUACGCGAAGAACCUUACCAGGUCUUGACAUACUAUGCAAAUCUAAGAGAUUAGACGUUCCCUUCGGGGACAUGGAUACAGGUGGUGCAUGGUUGUCGUCAGCUCGUGUCGUGAGAUGUUGGGUUAAGUCCCGCAACGAGCGCAACCCUUAUUAUCAGUUGCCAGCAUUAAGUUGGGCACUCUGGUGAGACUGCCGGUGACAAACCGGAGGAAGGUGGGGAUGACGUCAAAUCAUCAUGCCCCUUAUGACCUGGGCUACACACGUGCUACAAUGGAUGGUACAACGAGUUGCGAACUCGCGAGAGUAAGCUAAUCUCUUAAAGCCAUUCUCAGUUCGGAUUGUAGGCUGCAACUCGCCUACAUGAAGUCGGAAUCGCUAGUAAUCGCGGAUCAGCAUGCCGCGGUGAAUACGUUCCCGGGCCUUGUACACACCGCCCGUCACACCAUGAGAGUUUGUAACACCCAAAGUCGGUGGGGUAACCUUUUAGGAACCAGCCGCCUAAGGUGGGACAGAUGAUU